Molecule: long non-coding RNA, 455 nt
Organism: Hordeum vulgare subsp. vulgare (domesticated barley)
Lineage: Eukaryota; Viridiplantae; Streptophyta; Magnoliopsida; Poales; Poaceae
Exons: 2
Source: RefSeq, a predicted model, not a curated record
UCUAACCAUCUCAUAAUUUCGUAUAUAGUUCGUAGAAAAUAUGAAGGGGAUUGUGAUUGUUGUUUUCUUCGUCGGAUGCCUAAUUGUUGUUGGACAAUGCUGUUCCGAGCCCGAAUGCACCGAUGAAGAUAGCCAUGCCAAUGUGACUCCGCUCGUCUCAUAUUUAGAUGAGAGCAAGGUUACCUUGAAAUGGUGUGUCGAAAGGAAUUGUAAGAGCAAAGGUGAAGCGUGGACCUUGAACACGUGUGUCUGCUGCAUGACUCUUCGAGACCAACCAAUGUUAUAAUUCUAACAACGAAUGUGAAAAGAAUUGCCCACCAAGUUGAAAUAAGGGUCCGCAUUACAAAGAUAUAUAAAGCAACCUAUUAUUAGAAUAAAAUAGCGUGCUGAUUGUUGCGGGUGGUACCUUUUCAUGAGUCUAUAUAUCUAUGCAAAUAAAAAGUUAGUUGCACUCG